Molecule: ribosomal RNA, 465 nt
Filed under: Vreelandella stevensii
Lineage: Bacteria; Pseudomonadati; Pseudomonadota; Gammaproteobacteria; Oceanospirillales; Halomonadaceae
Description: partial 16S ribosomal RNA
Rfam family: Bacterial small subunit ribosomal RNA
Source: RNAcentral
CCUACGGGUGGCAGCAGUGGGGAAUAUUGGACAAUGGGCGAAAGCCUGAUCCAGCCAUGCCGCGUGUGUGAAGAAGGCCUUCGGGUUGUAAAGCACUUUCAGUGGGGAAGAAAGCCUUGGGGCUAAUACCCUCGAGGAAGGACAUCACCCACAGAAGAAGCACCGGCUAACUCCGUGCCAGCAGCCGCGGUAAUACGGAGGGUGCGAGCGUUAAUCGGAAUUACUGGGCGUAAAGCGCGCGUAGGCGGUCUGAUAAGCCGGUUGUGAAAGCCCCGGGCUCAACCUGGGAACGGCAUCCGGAACUGUCAGGCUAGAGUGCAGGAGAGGAAGGUAGAAUUCCCGGUGUAGCGGUGAAAUGCGUAGAGAUCGGGAGGAAUACCAGUGGCGAAGGCGGCCUUCUGAACUGACACUGACGCUGAGGUGCGAAAGCGUGGGUAGCAAACAGGAUUAGAUACCCUAGUAGUC